CAAGGCUGGUUCCAAAGCAGACGCUGCUGCCCCAUAUUAUUGGGAAGCGACAGGACCUAGCUUAACAGUUCCACACUAAGGAAACAAUGGAAGCUGGUGUUUGCUGACUUCAGUGUGGAACAGAAGACUACAUUAUGUAUCUUAACCACUACAGAUUUACGUUCUAUAAUUUCAGCUUGAACCCUCCUUCCCGUGUUGUGUGUCUGUAUCAGUCAGUAUUUACUAGAGAAACAGAUAAAACACAAGAUAUACAAAUAUAUAUGAAUUUACAAGAUUGCCUUACAGUAGCCACCCACAGAGUCAGGUGAGGGAGAGUGGAGAGGGUCUGUCGGCACACUAGACCCUGAAGCAUUUAGUGAAAGGUCUGGAGCUCACUGCAGUGUCCCGAGAGAGUCCUUUAUGAUGGGUCUAUGAUGGAAGGCGGAAGGAUCUGCCCCAGAAACCAAAGAGUCUGCUAGCUAGGUACCGGAAGCCAGAAGAUGUCCAAGGCGAAGACAGGAGCUCCUCCAAAGGAACAGAAGCAGCAGCGUCCUUCCUCAUUUCCCCUUUAUACCAUCCAGGCCAGCAGCCGCAGCUAUAGGACUUGGAAUUGCCGAGCCAAUUUAGCUAAUGUCACCAAACUUCUCAAGUUGACACAACCAUUACAGUGUCCUGUAGCAUCUUUGCUCCCUUUGCACUUGAACACUUUUUUGCAGACUAAAUUCCACCCCCAUUUCAUUAUGACUUGAUUUAAAACUUCUCAGGAAAACAGACCAUUAAGCAAAAAUUCCUUCUAUUUUCCAAAUGCUAGAAAUUUCCUGACCUUUUUGACAGUAUCAGGGGAAUGAGUAACUCCAUAUUCUGUGCAAGAAUAUUCAUAUUCUAUAUCCAUAUCCUAGUUCCAGCUGCCCCUUUCUCUUUCAUUUAUAUGUUUAGUUUUUAGUCUUCCACAAAUUCUGGUUCCUUAGCUUCUCCUUCUGUAACUUUCACUGUAUUUCCUUCACAGUCAAGCUUUCUUUAAAAAGUCCACAUUCUUCAUUAUCUUUUUUUGUUUAUCUGACAUUGAUUCAUCAACUCUCUGCAAUCUGGCUUUGUAUCUAUCCCAUUAUAAGAAUGCUCCCUUAAAAUUUCUAUUAUUUAGAAGAAAGUAAGUUUCAUUCUUUUGUAUAAUACUGAAAUGAUGAUCCUGUUGAGACUAGUAGAAUAAGCUCAAAACUAUUAGAAUGGUGUAGGUCCCAAUUCUAACUAUUAGAAUUUGAUGAGUGACUUCUUUUUUAUCUAUCCCCCCCCUUUUAGAACUCUAUAGCAGAAACUAGCCAAUAAUGAAAUCUAUUUCUUUACCCUGAGCACAUGGCCAAACUUUCCAUGUAACUGAGUUCUAGCCAAUAAAAUGUGACUAGAAGUGAUGUGUUAUUUUCAGGCUUAUGAAGUCCUAUAUCUUCAAAACCAUAUAAGAGAGAGAUGCCAGAGUCAGGAAAGAAAGGG
RNAcentral lists this long non-coding RNA (1464 nucleotides) under Heterocephalus glaber (naked mole-rat). Its description in RNAcentral is "lncRNA (ENSHGLG00100042418.1)". The record is from RNAcentral. Lineage: Eukaryota; Metazoa; Chordata; Mammalia; Rodentia; Bathyergidae.